GGGUUGUGAGGUUAAGCGACUAAGCGUACACGGUGGAUGCCCUGGCAGUCAGAGGCGAUGAAGGGCGUGCUAAUCUGCGAUAAGCGCCGGUAAGGUGAUAUGAACCGUUAUAACCGGCGAUACCCGAAUGGGGAAA
RNAcentral lists this ribosomal RNA (136 nucleotides) under Salmonella enterica subsp. enterica serovar Infantis. Its description in RNAcentral is "partial 23S ribosomal RNA". It matches the Rfam family "Bacterial large subunit ribosomal RNA", at positions 1 to 126 of the family's 2925-position model. RNAcentral also lists the same sequence under 15 other names. The record is from RNAcentral. Lineage: Bacteria; Pseudomonadati; Pseudomonadota; Gammaproteobacteria; Enterobacterales; Enterobacteriaceae.